GGUUUGAUCAUGGUCAGAUUGAAUGCUAUGGGAUGCUUUACACAUGCAAGUCGAACGGCAGCACGACCCCUGGUCUGGUGGCGAGUGGCGAACGGUGAGUAAUGUAUCGGAACGUGCCUAGUAGCGGGGAUAACUACGCGAAAGCGGUGAAGCACAUCGCACACCGGGGAAAGCGGGGACUCCGGGCCUCGCACUAUUAGAGCGGCCGAUAUCGGACACAGUUGGUGGGGUAACGGCUCACCAAGGCGACGAUCCAGCAGCUGGUUUGAGAGGACGACCAGCCACACUGUGGGACCGAGACACGGCCCAGACUCCUACGGAGGCAGCAGUGGGGAAUUUUGGACAAUGGGGAAACCCUGAUCCAGCCAUCCCGCGUGUGCGAUGAAGGCCUCGGGUUGUAAAGCACUUUUGGCAGGAAAGUUAACGGGCACGGAUACUCCCGUGCAACUGACGGUACCUACAGAAUAAGCACCGCCAACUACGUGCUGGUGCAGCCGCGGUACGUAGGGUGCAAGCGUUGACCCGAAUUACUGGGCGCAAAGCGCGCAGGCGGUUCGAAAGAAAGAUGAAAUCCCAGAGCUUAACUUCGGGAACUGCAUUUUUAACUACUGAGCUAGAGUGUGUCAGAGGGAGGAAUUCGCGUGUAGCAGCGAAUGCAGAUAUGCGGAGGAACACCGAUGGCGACAGCCUCUGGGAUAACACUGACGCUCAUGCACGAAAGCGGGAGCAACAGGAUUAGAUACUCCGCAGUCCACGCCCUAAACGAUGUCAACUAGCUGUUAGCCUUCGGCCUCGGUAGCGCAGCUAACGUAAGUGAAGCCGGACCGCCUUGGGAGGCGGUCAAGAUUAAAAUCAAAGGAAUUGACGGGGACCCGCACAAGCGGUGGAUGAUGUGGACACUCGAUGCAACGCGAAAACCUUACUCUACCUGACAUGUCUGGAAUCCCGAAGAGAUCGGGAGCCAAAGAGAACCGAACACAGGUGCUGCCGCAUGGCUGUCGUCAGCUCGUGUCGCAGAUGUUGUUAAGUCCUGCAACGAGCGCAACCCUUUGUCAUUAGUUGCUACGAAAGGCACUCAAUGAGACUGCCGGUGACAAACCGGAUGAAGCAGGUGGGGAUGACGUCAAGUCCUCAUGGCCCUUAUGGGUAGGGCUUCGCCACACGUCAUACAAUGGUCGGACAGAGGGUCGCCAACCCGGCGAGGGGGAGCCAAUCCCAGAAACCCGAUCGUAGUCCGGAUCGCAGUCUGCACCCGACUGCGUGAAGUCGGAAUCGCCACCGUGGAUCAGCAUGUCGCGGUGAAUAUUGUUCCUGGCCCGGUACACCGCCCGUCACACCAUGGGAGUGGGUUUUACUUCAGAAGUAGUUAGCUCAACCGUAUGAGGGCGAUUACCACGGUAGGAUUCAUGACUGGGGUGAAGUCGAAUAAGGUAG
This 1434-nucleotide ribosomal RNA is filed under the name uncultured Bordetella sp. RNAcentral's name for it is "partial 16S-23S ribosomal RNA intergenic spacer". It matches the Rfam family "Bacterial small subunit ribosomal RNA". Lineage: Bacteria; Pseudomonadati; Pseudomonadota; Betaproteobacteria; Burkholderiales; Alcaligenaceae. The record is from RNAcentral.